Non-coding RNA from Phasianus colchicus (ring-necked pheasant), 5174 nucleotides. NCBI's taxonomy places the organism in Eukaryota, Metazoa, Chordata, Aves, Galliformes, Phasianidae. The record is from RefSeq and is a predicted model, not a curated record.
UCCUGGUUUUCUUCACGAGGAUGAAGUACUCUGGAAUGGCAGAGCAGAAGGAAAGCACAUCUUCUAACCACUCUGAUUAUCCCCUGCUGCUGCUUGGCAUCCACACAUGCUGCAAGAGAAAAGCCAGACCUGGAAGCAAUCUGCUGAGAGUUUCAAAUUCUCUCUGUUCCUCUCUUCCAGUCCAUUAGGCCAGAAAGGGAAUGGCAGUCAACAAGUUUUUCAUCUAUCACAUCUCUUCUUUGAUUGAAGAUUAAACUGGCAAUGAUGGGGAGAGAUCCUUGGGACAGGUAUCCCCUGGAGGUUUGUCUUCAUACAGCUUCAAGUGCUGCUGUGGAAUUGUGCCACUUCGUGCACUCACAGUUGAGCAGAGGCAGAGCCUGUGGAAACGAGCAGUCCCCAAACAUCAGUCAGGUGUGUGCAGGAAGCAGGAGAUGGUGUGACUGCAGGCACAGAAAGGAAGCUACAGAGGCGAUGCAAAAAUUGGGAAGACUCCUUGCUCUGUGUAUGCGCAAGAGAGAGGAUGCCCUUGGUCAUACUGAGUGGCUUUGUCUGCAUGAGAGAGCUCCCAGAUAAGGAGAGCUGUGUGCAGGAAACAGAAGCUGCAGGACCAGUGUUCCGUUAGCCAUGAAAGUCCUCAGCACAAUGAUUUGAUGAGGCCGUGAUCUCGGAGAGUUAGAAAAUGAGAUGGGUUCUUUGGAUGGAUCAGGAGGAAAUGCUGAAUUGUAAAGGGCAGGUUUGUGUGGCCACCUGCCUCGGAGCGGAAGGAAGGCUGCCCUCCCCCUGGAUCUGACCACUGACAUUAGGCAUGCGGGGCUGCACGACCCAGCAGAGAGACCUCAUCCACCAGCAGGGAAGUAACAAGCCCUCUUGGUCAGAUGCUGUUGCUCUCUGGACUUCUGCCUUUCUAGGUGGGACAGUGUGGCCUCUUUAACCCCAUCACUGGAUCAGUGCUCCCAAAUUAGUGUAAUCAUCCCACUCAAAUUAAGUGAGCAGCUCCUGACUCCUGGCUCUGCAGCCCAGCCCUGGGCAUCCCCUCUCAGCCUGGCGCCCACAUCCCCCUCUUCCUCCCUCUCCCCCGAAGCCCCCUGCUUGUGGGCUCCUUGAUAUUUUCCAGUCCUUCCCUAAUGAGCACUGCAGAAUUACAGCUAAUUAAGGAUGUAAAUGAUGCUGGAGAGAGAGGGAGAGGGAGAGGAUGGGAAGGGGCGGGGGGAGGGCAGCUACUUGCUGUGUGCAACUCUGCAGUAAAGUGUCUCCUACCUCAGCAGAAAAGUUAUCAUGGGAGACAAUGUCAACUUUAUGGAGGGGGGAGGGCCCUCUCAGUGCCUCUGUCCCCGCCUGUAAUAGCUGCUGCCUCUCUUUUAUGUGUCAGCGCUGCAGAUGCUGAUGUCCUCCCUCCCAAAUGCUGCUUUGUCAGCUGGCGCUGUCACACAGCCCUGGGUCUCUCUGCCUCUCACUGCCAUCCUCACCGUGCCAGGGCACCCAGGGGCCUGUCUCCUUCCUUGCAAGGAGUUUGCCUCUCUUCCUGCCUACAUGUCCUCCUCCACCCAUGGUUUGGAGAGGAUCCGGGACUGGUCCUACUCCAUGAAGGAAUGUUUGUGCUGUGACACAGGCAGGAGCAGGCCGUGAUGGGGACAUCCACCAGACACAGCGCUGCAGAAGGACUUCGGCUGCUGCACCACCAGGAACACAGCUCAGCUGGGUCCUCUGAGAGCAUUUGGAAGCGCUUCGGGUCCUGUUGCCGUAUUUUUCUGCACAUUGCCUGGAUCAGUGGGUUGUGAAAGCACGUUUGUCCCAGUGCUGCGUCUCGUCCAUCCGUCCGUCCAACGGAGGACCACACAUUGUUGGGUCAAGAGCGGGCAGCAAUGGGCGACAACAGCGGUGGUGGUUUUUGUUGUUGUUUCCCCAGAUCGCUGUGCAAUAUAUUCCAAUUUUUUUUCUUGUCAUUAAGCCAGUGCCUCGGAGAUGAUGAUGUAGUCCCUAUGUGGGCCGCAGAAAGCACUUCGAGCCGUGCUGGAGUCGUGCUGGGUGGCUCUGAUAGCAGAGCUAAUGGGAGCGAAUGGGAUGCAACGAACUGUUCUAAUGACACCAGCCAGGGAAGAGACAACAGUAAGAAUAAAUAAAUGUUAACUAUUUUCCUCUUCCAGACAUUUGCAUCUAUUGCCAUUAAGUUCAUUUAAAUAAGAGAGAGAGCGAGAGAGAAGGGGAAACUUACUACUACUCUUAAUAACAAGUGUCUAAAAAUAAAUUAGGAUGCUGGGAUGCACUUAAGGCAUUUUAAAAAUAAGUCUUAUUUUUCCCCCCUUCUCCUUUUUUUUUUUUUUUAAAGUGUUGGAGGGUUUUAAUUUGGGCCGAGUAAUUUUGGUGCAAACGCUUGGGCGCCUUUCGUUGGGAAAUUGGGAGGAAUGCAAACAAGAUUUCACUUCAUUAAACAGGGGCAAACAGUAGAGAAAUUGCACUUACUUAUGGAAAUGACUUUUAAACAUGAACAGCAUUUACUUGCAUUGCCUUGUGCUGAAUUUUUUUUUUUAAAAGAUUAUACAUGUGAAUAAUUCACUGCGGGCCAAUUAGAUGAUGACUUCAUUUUUAACCUCUCUUCCUUGCCAUCUUGCUGGCUGUCCCUUUCGUUGCAAUUUCCACCCUCUUCCUUCCUUUCCAUAAAUUAAUAAAGAACAAAUAAUCCCUCUUCCUGCAGUGCCAAGAGCCAGCUUCUCAGAACGGAUGUUGAAGGAGAAAACCAAGCAUGGCUGGCUGUAGAGGACUGCCCUGGGAUGAAGCAGGAAUAACUGGAUAGGAUGUCUGUAGGCAGGGUUGCACCCAUUUGUUGGGGAAAAAUGGAGAAGUGAGAAAUGAGCCUGAAGGUGUGAGAGCAUUGCACAUUAUGUAAUGCAGAGCCCAGAAGCCACUAAAUACAUAAUUACAAAAUACAGAAUUAGUUCCUUAUAAAAAAUUAGCUAGUCUACCUGUCCAGUUUCUGGGUUUCUUAUCUAGUCCUUACGUCCUGUUCCUUGGUACCAGACUAAGACCCACCCCUCAUGAAAUUUUAUCCUGCUUUCACUUGCCUUAAGAGGAAGGAGAAACUCUGGUUCCUUUCCAGUGGAAAUCUCCAUCCUCUGGCAUUGCCAAGGGAAGGCUAAAUGGAACAUCGCCCUCAGCACUUCUUUUUUCCUUGCUCAGCAGAGGUUCCUCCACUGAUGCCAGUGGAAUGAUAUUGCAAAAGAGUCCCUGCUGGUAGUUUUUGGGCCUCUUCUGUGGGGUGAGGGUUUGUGCCCUGUCAUCUCCACCUUGCAGAUGAGGAAGCUGAAGCAUGGAGUGGAGCCUUCACCAUCUUCUACAACAGUGUAUUCUCUUGCACCUUCAGCCUGUUCUCUCCAAACUGUUUCCUGGGAUACUUCAUGCUUAUUUGGUCAGCAUUUCCUUUCUCAUGAGGUCACAUUCCCAGCCCUUUCUAAGCCGUGUUUUUAUGGCUCUUAGCAGAUUACAGUUUUAGUGGGGAGGAGGUGGCUGCGAGCGAUGACCUGUGAUUUCCAGGGAAGGGGAGAACAUGUAAACUUCAAGCAGAGGGGCCUCCCGCUGGGAACAGCCCGUUUUAGAGCCCUUGUGUCAAUGAUGGCCUCCAGGGCACUUCCCCACUCUAUUUAUUUACCCGUGGGAAGCCCAGCAUGCCCCCUCCAGAACCCAGGCCAAGCAAAUCCCUCCUCCUGGCAAUGGAACAAAGGUCUUUCAGCCUGGACCUGGAAACUUCACGUGGUCUAUUUCCGAGUCAGCAUCAGUAUGUUUAGAAAGCAUCCCAGGUGAAAGGCUGUGAGGCUGUGGGACUAUCAUGUGGGGAAGUGGGAGAGCACACUGCAAGCACUGAGCAUAGGUCUCAAUGAUUGCCAGUGUAUCCAGCUUUAGCUUUCAUCUGGGUGCUGCAGGCUGCUAUGGGCCCUACAGGGUGUUCCACACAUGCAGGGCUGUUCCCAGCAGCUAUUCCCAACAAAUGCCUUUUAUCCUGGAAUAUUCACACUUGGAGUCAUUCAGCGAUGUUGCCCUGAAAAGCUUCAUGGGGAGCUAAGCCCAGAAACACCAGCUAUGAGGCAGCAUGUUAUGAGCUGAGUUGUCUCUGCAGGAGAGGCACCUGCAUCUGCUAACCACCUCUGGAAUUCAGGAAUAGGCCCCUAUGGGCUGCGCGGUGCCUCCAUUGACCUCAGUAGGCUUAGCACCAGGGACAAGUUCAGCUCCACACACUUAUUAACCUCCUUCCCCAGAAGCAUCCUCAGAGCCGGGGGCUGUGUGAGGCGGGCACCUGCAGCAGCAUGGCUUCAGCUGCAGUUCUUUGUGAUGAGAACUUCUACCUGUGCAGCACCUGGUGCCAGGAGACAGGAGUGGGUCCUGAUGACACCCAUGCCUAUGGGAGCAAUGAGUCUCAUCUGUUCUCAUGGCAAGGCCAGGCAAAGAAAGGCAAGGCAGAGUACAACAAAGAAAGGCAAGGCCAAAAAAGUCAAGGCAAAUAAAGGUAAGGGAAGGCAAGUUCUCUCUCCUCUGUGCAGUCUGGAAACCUUGGACAGAAGGGGACUUCAGAGAUUAUUGAUGUAUCUGACUCUGAAAUGAGCUUCAUUCUUCUCUUCAGCCUCCUAAUGACAGACACGGGUCUCUGGGCAGUGAAUCAACAACCACAUGUGGAAGUGAGCAAGUGCCAGACACAAAUAUUGACGUUCCUCUGACAGGCACCUCCAUGCUGGGUCUGGGUGAGGGCUGGAGCAGGCACUGGGCCCGGGCCUCCCAGUGGGAUUUCCAUCUGCCAACACAGCUGAAGGUCUCUCCUUGUUUUCUGUAUGGGCCCCACGGAGGGCUGGUGGCAGUGGUGGUGAGUUGGUGAUGUUGGAAAGAUGCUGGUGGUGCUGCCAGAUACCAUCAGCACGUGUGGGGUAAGCAGAUGCAUCUCUCCUCAUCAUUGAUGGAAACCAUGCUAUAAAAAUCUGACUGAAACGUGGCUUUUCCCACAUGAACUUUAAAAUGUUUUCAGUUUGGAAAGAGUGGAGGCAUUUCCUUAACACCACAUUUCUAUGAGAAUACACUGAGAAUUACAUAUACAUCCUCCCAUUAAAAAAUAAAACAAACCUUCACCUUUUACCUUCUUUUGACAGGCAGGAAAAAAAAUCAACUAAAAAAAUCUUCCACUUUGUAAUGUUUUA